RNAcentral lists this ribosomal RNA (566 nucleotides) under Neofusicoccum parvum. RNAcentral's name for it is "eukaryotic LSU rRNA". The stretch from base 201 to 354 matches the Rfam family "5.8S ribosomal RNA". The record is from RNAcentral. Lineage: Eukaryota; Fungi; Ascomycota; Dothideomycetes; Botryosphaeriales; Botryosphaeriaceae.
UGAACCUGCGGAAGGAUCAUUACCGAGUUGAUUCGAGCUCCGGCUCGACUCUCCCACCCAAUGUGUACCUACCUCUGUUGCUUUGGCGGGCCGCGGUCCUCCGCACCGGCGCCCUUCGGGGGGCUGGCCAGCGCCCGCCAGAGGACCAUAAAACUCCAGUCAGUGAACUUCGCAGUCUGAAAAACAAGUUAAUAAACUAAAACUUUCAACAACGGAUCUCUUGGUUCUGGCAUCGAUGAAGAACGCAGCGAAAUGCGAUAAGUAAUGUGAAUUGCAGAAUUCAGUGAAUCAUCGAAUCUUUGAACGCACAUUGCGCCCCUUGGUAUUCCGAGGGGCAUGCCUGUUCGAGCGUCAUUUCAACCCUCAAGCUCUGCUUGGUAUUGGGCCUCGUCCUCCACGGACGCGCCUUAAAGACCUCGGCGGUGGCGUCUUGCCUCAAGCGUAGUAGAAAACACCUCGCUUUGGAGCGCACGGCGUCGCCCGCCGGACGAACCUUUGAAUUAUUUCUCAAGGUUGACCUCGGAUCAGGUAGGGAUACCCGCUGAACUUAAGCAUAUCAAUAAGCC